GGUGAACGCUGGCGGCGUGCCUAACACAUGCAAGUCGAGCGGUGCAGUUUGAAGCUUCGGUGGAAAGCUGCAUAGCGGCGGACGGGUGAGGAAAACGUAGGAACGUGCCCCUUGGAGUUGGAUAGCCACGGGAAACUGUGGGUAAACCGACAUAGACUCGAGAGAGUAAAGGCCGAAAGGCGCCAAGGGAGCGGCCUGCGGCCCAUCAGGUAGUUGGUAGUGUAAAGGACUACCAAGCCGACGAUCUGUAGCUGGUCUGAGAGGACGACCAGCCACACUGGGACUGAGACACGGCCCAGACUCCUACGGGAGGCAGCAGUUGGGAAUCUUAGGCAAUGGACGAAAGUCUGACCUAGCGACGCCGCGUGAGGGAAGAAGGCCUUCGGGUUGUAAACCUCUGUCAUGGGGAAGAAGUAAGUGACGGUACCCAAGAGGAAGCCCCUGCUAACUACGUG
This 455-nucleotide ribosomal RNA is filed under the name uncultured bacterium. Its description in RNAcentral is "bacterial SSU rRNA". It matches the Rfam family "Bacterial small subunit ribosomal RNA", at positions 28 to 507 of the family's 1533-position model. The record is from RNAcentral.